CAGAAAGUGAUCAUGUGUACUAAUUAAUGGACUCAAAUGUUUUUUUUUGUUUGUUUUGUUUUGUUGUGCGGCUUUUCUUGUUCAAACAACGCUUAAAAGACUCCCUCUUCACAAGUGUAUAAGCUCAGGAAAUAAAGCAUCCCCUGUCGGCGAACAUGCCAGUGUUUUGGAAAACUACUGACUCUAGUGGGAGGAAGUAAGUGGAAGAAGAGCAGCACCAACUCGCUCCUCAUCAUCUAUUUUCUCUCCUCCAUCUCUAUUUUUUCAAGUCAGAUUGGAAGCCAGCGGAAGGCCAUGUCUGGAUCCUGAAAUAGGCAGACAGGGUCACAAGGUGAUGGGCGGAGGGGACUUCAGGACGAAAAGGGAAUUCCCGAACUUUUACCGGCUGGAGGCUACAGGGCUGACUGCAGCCUUGUGAGUGUUGUUAUACAGACGUCCCUCACCACAUCCCACUUCAACGUUUGCAACCUACAAAGAUGAAGAAUGACUCGUAAUCCUCGCGAAGAAAAGGAGGGAUAGAACCAGGCGUCUUUUCGUGUCCUCCUCGCCAUUCCUGGGUCUAAAUUGGCUGCCAAAGUGUACCAACUUGUCGGAAUACGUCCUCAUCCUUCUACUAUCCAGUGCCCAUGUUCAGGGAACAACAGCAGCAAAAAGUCCAACCGUACUCGGAACGAGGUGGGAGCGGGUGAAGAGUGCUUUCCCCGUCAGGUGUAGCAAUCAAAGGCGAAAACUGGAACGACGACUUCAAGAGCGGCGCGCGCGGCGAAAGCGCAUGAAUAAUUGGAGAGAAGCGAUCAAAGCACAACUGUGACAUGAAAUAAAUGAAUUAAAAGGUGGGGUUGGGGGGUGAAAUAAUAUCGCCAUCUGGAUGAGGAGUCCUCGAAGCCCCUCACCGACGUUGGCUUCAAUUGGAACUUUUUGUGUUUGUAAUUGUUUAAUGUGAUUUUAAAAGUAAAGUUGUGUAUUAUUGGUUUAAACUACACGUAAAUACCUACAGUAUACACACUACGUACACACACACUGGACCCACAAAAAGAUCCUCCUCAAGUUUUAUUUGACCCUAUGUUGUACAUCCUGCUGA
This is a long non-coding RNA of Entelurus aequoreus (snake pipefish), 1081 nucleotides long. RefSeq lists it as uncharacterized. The transcript has 6 exons. The record is from RefSeq and is a predicted model, not a curated record. Lineage: Eukaryota; Metazoa; Chordata; Actinopteri; Syngnathiformes; Syngnathidae.